UACAAGAAAGAAGAAGAAGAAGAAAAUGAAGAUAAUGACGAAGAAGAAGAAAGAUAUGCUCU
RNAcentral lists this small RNA (62 nucleotides) under Arabidopsis thaliana (thale cress). RNAcentral's name for it is "ATSL075060". Lineage: Eukaryota; Viridiplantae; Streptophyta; Magnoliopsida; Brassicales; Brassicaceae. The record is from RNAcentral.